CCCUGUUCACCAAGAAAUAAUUAAAUCUGGUCUAUGUAUGACAUGUAUGUGUGACUGACAAUGAGACAAUUCUCCAUCCAAGUCAUAAUCAGUUUGGGGAGAACCCCUUAAUGUUAUAAAUAUCCCUUUUACAUGUUUUAUGAGGGAUCAAUAUAAGUUAUAAUAUAUUUGUUUGUACAAAAGGGCUCAUAUUUUCUCAAAAAGAACUAUAUAUCUAUCUGGUAUUAAAUGGUCAAAACAUGUCCAAGAAUUUUGUAAUAUUCCUGGACUUUAACCAUGUUAACACAUUUACUUUAACAGUUUAAUAUUAUUCAAAAUAAGUG
This 323-nucleotide long non-coding RNA is filed under the name Mytilus galloprovincialis (Mediterranean mussel). The record is from RNAcentral. Lineage: Eukaryota; Metazoa; Mollusca; Bivalvia; Mytilida; Mytilidae.